CCUACGGGGCGCAGCAGUGAGGAAUAUUGGUCAAUGGACGAGAGUCUGAACCAGCCAAGUAGCGUGAAGGAUGACUGCCCUAUGGGUUGUAAACUUCUUUUAUAUGGGAAUAAAAUGUUCCACGUGUGGGAUUUUGUAUGUACCAUAUGAAUAAGGAUCGGCUAACUCCGUGCCAGCAGCAGCGGUAAUACGGAGGAUCCGAGCGUUAUCCGGAUUUAUUGGGUUUAAAGGGAGCGUAGGUGGAUUGUCAAGUCAGUUGUGAAAGUUUGCGGCUCAACCGUAAAAUUGCAGUUGAAACUGGCAGUCUUGAGUACAGUAGAGGUGGGCGGAAUUCGUGGUGUAGCGGUGAAAUGCUUAGAUAUCACGAAGAACUCCGAUUGCGAAGGCAGUUCACUGGACUGCAACUGACACUGAGGCUCGAAAGUGUGGGUAUCAAACAGGAUUAGAUACCCUUGUAGUC
Molecule: ribosomal RNA, 460 nt
Filed under: uncultured bacterium
Lineage: Bacteria
Description: partial 16S ribosomal RNA
Rfam family: Bacterial small subunit ribosomal RNA
Source: RNAcentral